RNAcentral lists this transfer RNA (72 nucleotides) under Eucryptorrhynchus scrobiculatus. RNAcentral describes it as "tRNA-Lys". The record is from RNAcentral. Lineage: Eukaryota; Metazoa; Arthropoda; Insecta; Coleoptera; Curculionidae.
CAUUAGAUGGCUGAAAUGCAAGCACUGGUCUCUUAAACCAUUUAAUAAUAAAUUAGCACUUAUUUCUAAUGA